RNAcentral lists this ribosomal RNA (481 nucleotides) under Spathius generosus. RNAcentral describes it as "partial 16S ribosomal RNA". Lineage: Eukaryota; Metazoa; Arthropoda; Insecta; Hymenoptera; Braconidae. The record is from RNAcentral.
CACCUGUUUAUCAAAAACAUUUCUUAUCGCAACUAAUUUUAAGUAAAAUCUGCCCAAUGAAUUAAUUUAAAUGGCUGCAGUCUUUAUAGCUGUACUAAGGUAGCAUGAUGACUUGUUUUUUAAUUAAAAACUAGAAUAAAAGAUUAAAUGAAAUAUAAACUAUAUCAAAUAAAAUAAAAAUUAAAAUUAUUAUUUAAGUAAAAAAACUUAAAUAAAUUUAAAAGACAACAAGACCCUAUAGAAUUUUAUUUUUUAUAAAAAUUUAUUUUCUUAAUUAAAUUUAAAUAAAAUUUAUAAAAAAUUUAAUUGGGGUAAUUAAAAAAUUAAUUAAAUUUUUAUAUAAAAUAACAUCAAUAAAUGAAACUAUAAUUAAAUCAUCUUUAAUAAAAAUUAAUAAAAUUAAUUACCUUAGGGAUAACAGCAUAAUUUUUUUUAAAAGAACAAAUUAAUAAAAAAGAUUAUGACCUCGAUGUUGAAUAAG